GUGCUUGCUUCAGCAGCACACAGACAAAAAUUGGAAUGAUACAGAGAAGAUUUUCAUGGCCCCUGAGGAAGGAUGAUAUGCAAAUUCCUGAAGCGUUUCCUAUUUUU
This is a small nuclear RNA of Hippopotamus amphibius kiboko, 107 nucleotides long. The record is from RefSeq and is a predicted model, not a curated record. NCBI's taxonomy places the organism in Eukaryota, Metazoa, Chordata, Mammalia, Artiodactyla, Hippopotamidae.